GAUGAACGCUGGCGGCGUGCCUAAUACAUGCAAGUCGAGCGAACAGACGAGGAGCUUGCUCCUCUGACGUUAGCGGCGGACGGGUGAGUAACACGUGGAUAACCUACCUAUAAGACUGGGAUAACUUCGGGAAACCGGAGCUAAUACCGGAUAAUAUAUUGAACCGCAUGGUUCAAUAGUGAAAGACGGUUUUGCUGUCACUUAUAGAUGGAUCCGCGCCGCAUUAGCUAGUUGGUAAGGUAACGGCUUACCAAGGCAACGAUGCGUAGCCGACCUGAGAGGGUGCUCGGCCACACUGGAACUGAGACACGGUCCAGACUCCUACGGGAGGCAGCAGUAGGGAAUCUUCCGCAAUGGGCGAAAGCCUGACGGAGCAACGCCGCGUGCGUGAUGAAGGUCUUCGGAUCGUAAAACUCUGUUAUUAGGGAAGAACAAAUGUGUAAGUACCUAUGCACGUCUUGACGGUACCUAAUCAGAAAGCCACGGCUAACUACGUG
Molecule: ribosomal RNA, 497 nt
Filed under: uncultured bacterium
Lineage: Bacteria
Description: partial 16S ribosomal RNA
Rfam family: Bacterial small subunit ribosomal RNA
Source: RNAcentral